RNAcentral lists this ribosomal RNA (443 nucleotides) under uncultured bacterium. RNAcentral describes it as "partial 16S ribosomal RNA". It matches the Rfam family "Bacterial small subunit ribosomal RNA", at positions 338 to 795 of the family's 1533-position model. The record is from RNAcentral.
CCUACGGGCGGCAGCAGUGGGGAAUAUUGGGCAAUGGAGGAAACUCUGACCCAGCAACGCCGCGUGAAUGAGGAAGGUCUUCGGAUUGUAAAGUUCUUUUCUAAGGGAAGAAGAAAGUGACGGUACCUUAGGAAUAAGCCUCGGCGAACUACGUGCCAGCAGCCGCGGUAAUACGUAGGAGGCGAGCGUUAUCCGGAAGGACUGGGCGUAAAGGGUGCGUAGGUGGUUUGGCAAGUUAGUAGCGUAACUCCAAGGCUCAACCUCGGCACUACUACCCAGACUGUUGGACUUGAGUGCAGGAGGGGCAAAUGGAAUUCCUAGUGUAGCGGUGGAAUGCGUAGAUAUUAGGAGGAACACCAGUGGCGAAGGCGAUUUGCUGGACUGUAACUGACACUGAGGCACGAAAGCGUGGGGAGCAAACAGGAUUAGAUACCCUUGUAGUC